GACGAACGCUGGCGGCGUGCUUAACACAUGCAAGUCGAACGGAAAGGCCCUGCUUUUGUGGGGUGCUCGAGUGGCGAACGGGUGAGUAGCACGUGAGUAACCUGCCCUUGACUUUGGGAUAACUUCAGGAAACUGGGGCUAAUACCGGAUAGGAGCUCCUGCUGCAUGGUGGGGGUUGGAAAGUUUCGGCGGUUGGGGAUGGACUCGCGGCUUAUCAGCUUGUUGGUUGGGUAGUGGCUUACCAAGGCUUUGACGGGUAGCCGGCCUGGGAGGGUGACCGGCGACAAUGGGACUGAGAGACGGAGCAGACUGCUAUGGUAGGCAGUGGGGGGGAAUAUGGCACAAUGGGCGGGAGCCUGAUGCAGCAACGCCGGGUUCGGGAUGACGGCCUUCGGGUUGUAAAACGCUGUCGCCUGUGACGAAGCGUUAGUGACGGUAAUGGGUAAAGAAGCACCGGCUAACUACGUG
Molecule: ribosomal RNA, 468 nt
Filed under: uncultured bacterium
Lineage: Bacteria
Description: partial 16S ribosomal RNA
Rfam family: Bacterial small subunit ribosomal RNA
Source: RNAcentral